GGGUUGGGUUUCUUCAAUAGGUCUCAGCUGGAGCCUGGAAGGAGGCAGGUCCCACCCUGGGCGUGGGGACGCAGCCUCCCUCACCGCCUCCUUCAGCGCCUGAGCCCAGGCCCGACUCAGGGGGCGUGUGUACGCAGUAGGCCUCGUCCGCCAGCAGUAACAGGAGCCGGUCUGUGCUCUGGCUGCCUGAGGAGGACGUGGGGCGGCGUCCAGGCUGACAGGAGCCCCGGCCUCCUCAGGACCCGCAGGUAGGCUUCAGGACCAUGUGGAGCCGUGUCCUCGCUGACAGGAGCCUGGUCUCCUCAGGACCCACGGUGAGACUUCAGGAAGAUGUGGGGCCGCUUCCUCGCUGACAGGAGCCCCAGCCUCCUCAGGACCCGCGGACCUGCUGUCUAUGACUCAGGAAGACAUGGGGCCACGUCUGCCAUGACAGGAGUCCGGCUUCCUCAGGACCCGCUGGAGGACCCUGGAGGCGCUGUUCGGAGUCACAUCCACCUCAGCAGCAGCUACUCAGAACGACAAGGUAAGUGAAUGGGGACAAUUGAGAUAGGGUUAGGGUUUAGGGUGAGCAAUAUGUGGUUAGGGUGAAAUUAGAUGAUAUGGAUUAGUGAUCAUGGUUAUGCGUUCGAGUUCCUGGUUAGGGUGAGAGAUGGGGGAAGGGUCAAGAGUUAGGAGUAAGGUACGGAUUUGGGAUUAGGAAACUGAGUUAGGGAAUGGACAAGGGUUAUGUUACAGAUAGGUUAUAGGGUUUAGAGUGAAGGGAUGGGGGAAGGAAUACGUCUAGAGAUAGAGUGGGGGAUGGGGUUGAAGUUUAGGGUUAGGGGUUAAGACAGGGGUUUGGGCUAGGUUUAGGGUACAAUUAGGGAUUAGGGUAUGGGUUAGAGUUAGGAAACGGGUUAGGGUACGGGUUAGGGUUAGGAGUUAGGGUACGGGUUAGGGUACGGGUUAGGGUAUGGGUUAGGGUUAGGGUACGGGUUAGGGUUAGCGUUAGGGUUAGGGUACGGGUUAGGGUACGGGUUAGGGUUAGGGUAUGGGUUAGGGUUAGGGUUAGAGUACGGGUUAGGGUACGGGUUAGGGUUAGGGUAUGGGUUAGGGUACGGGUUAGGGUUAGGGUACGGGUUAGGGUUAGGGGUUAGGGUUAGGGGUUGGGGUUAGGGUUAGGGUACGGGUUAGGGUUAGGGUAC
This 1184-nucleotide long non-coding RNA is filed under the name Vulpes vulpes (red fox). RNAcentral's name for it is "lncRNA (ENSVVUG00000011908.1)". The record is from RNAcentral. Lineage: Eukaryota; Metazoa; Chordata; Mammalia; Carnivora; Canidae.